GUGAAAAAGAACCUGAAACCGUGUACGUACAAGCAGUGGGAGCACAGAGCAAUCUGUGUGACUGCGUACCUUUUGUAUAAUGGGUCAGCGACUUAUAUUCUGUAGCAAGGUUAACCGAAUAGGGGAGCCGAAGGGAAACCGAGUCUUAACUGGGCGUUAAGUUGCAGGGUAUAGACCCGAAACCCGGUGAUCUAGCCAUGGGCAGGUUGAAGGUUGGGUAACACUAACUGGAGGACCGAACCGACUAAUGUUGAAAAAUUAGCGGAUGACUUGUGGCUGGGGGUGAAAGGCCAAUCAAACCGGGAGAUAGCUGGUUCUCCCCGAAAGCUAUUUAGGUAGCGCCUCGUGAAUUCAUCUCCGGGGGUAGAGCACUGUUUCGGCAAGGGGGUCAUCCCGACUUACCAACCCGAUGCAAACUGCGAAUACCGGAGAAUGUUAUCACGGGAGACACACGGCGGGUGCUAACGUCCGUCGUGAAGAGGGAAACAACCCAGACCGCCAGCUAAGGUCCCAAAGUCAUGGUUAAGUGGGAAACGAUGUGGGAAGGCCCAGACAGCCAGGAUGUUGGCUUAGAAGCAGCCAUCAUUUAAAGAAAGCGUAAUAGCUCACUGGUCGAGUCGGCCUGCGCGGAAGAUGUAACGGGGCUAAACCAUGCACCGAAGCUGCGGCAGCGACACUGUGUGUUGUUGGGUAGGGGAGCGUUCUGUAAGCCUGUGAAGGUGUGCUGUGAGGCAUGCUGGAGGUAUCAGAAGUGCGAAUGCUGACAUAAGUAACGAUAAAGCGGGUGAAAAGCCCGCUCGCCGGAAGACCAAGGGUUCCUGUCCAACGUUAAUCGGGGCAGGGUGAGUCGACCCCUAAGGCGAGGCCGAAAGGCGUAGUCGAUGGGAAACAGGUUAAUAUUCCUGUACUUGGUGUUACUGCGAAGGGGGGACGGAGAAGGCUAUGUUGGCCGGGCGACGGUUGUCCCGGUUUAAGCGUGUAGGCUGGUUUUCCAGGCAAAUCCGGAAAAUCAAGGCUGAGGCGUGAUGACGAGGCACUACGGUGCUGAAGCAACAAAUGCCCUGCUUCCAGGAAAAGCCUCUAAGCAUCAGGUAACAUCAAAUCGUACCCCAAACCGACACAGGUGGUCAGGUAGAGAAUACCAAGGCGCUUGAGAGAACUCGGGUGAAGGAACUAGGCAAAAUGGUGCCGUAACUUCGGGAGAAGGCACGCUGAUAUGUAGGUGAAGUCCCUCGCGGAUGGAGCUGAAAUCAGUCGAAGAUACCAGCUGGCUGCAACUGUUUAUUAAAAACACAGCACUGUGCAAACACGAAAGUGGACGUAUACGGUGUGACGCCUGCCCGGUGCCGGAAGGUUAAUUGAUGGGGUCAGCGCAAGCGAAGCUCUUGAUCGAAGCCCCGGUAAACGGCGGCCGUAACUAUAACGGUCCUAAGGUAGCGAAAUUCCUUGUCGGGUAAGUUCCGACCUGCACGAAUGGCGUAAUGAUGGCCAGGCUGUCUCCACCCGAGACUCAGUGAAAUUGAACUCGCUGUGAAGAUGCAGUGUACCCGCGGCAAGACGGAAAGACCCCGUGAACCUUUACUAUAGCUUGACACUGAACAUUGAGCCUUGAUGUGUAGGAUAGGUGGGAGGCUUUGAAGUGUGGACGCCAGUCUGCAUGGAGCCGACCUUGAAAUACCACCCUUUAAUGUUUGAUGUUCUAACGUGGACCCGUGAUCCGGGUUGCGGACAGUGUCUGGUGGGUAGUUUGACUGGGGCGGUCUCCUCCUAAAGAGUAACGGAGGAGCACGAAGGUUGGCUAAUCCUGGUCGGACAUCAGGAGGUUAGUGCAAUGGCAUAAGCCAGCUUGACUGCGAGCGUGACGGCGCGAGCAGGUGCGAAAGCAGGUCAUAGUGAUCCGGUGGUUCUGAAUGGAAGGGCCAUCGCUCAACGGAUAAAAGGUACUCCGGGGAUAACAGGCUGAUACCGCCCAAGAGUUCAUAUCGACGGCGGUGUUUGGCACCUCGAUGUCGGCUCAUCACAUCCUGGGGCUGAAGUAGGUCCCAAGGGUAUGGCUGUUCGCCAUUUAAAGUGGUACGCGAGCUGGGUUUAGAACGUCGUGAGACAGUUCGGUCCCUAUCUGCCGUGGGCGCUGGAGAACUGAGGGGGGCUGCUCCUAGUACGAGAGGACCGGAGUGGACGCAUCACUGGUGUUCGGGUUGUCAUGCCAAUGGCACUGCCCGGUAGCUAAAUGCGGAAGAGAUAAGUGCUGAAAGCAUCUAAGCACGAAACUUGCCCCGAGAUGAGUUCUCCCUGACCCUUUAAGGGUCCUGAAGGAACGUUGAAGACGACGACGUUGAUAGGCCGGGUGUGUAAGCGCAGCGAUGCGUUGAGCUAACCGGUACUAAUGAACCGUGAGGCUUAACCUU
This 2408-nucleotide ribosomal RNA is filed under the name Escherichia coli. RNAcentral's name for it is "partial 23S ribosomal RNA". It matches the Rfam family "Bacterial large subunit ribosomal RNA", at positions 538 to 2925 of the family's 2925-position model. The record is from RNAcentral. Lineage: Bacteria; Pseudomonadati; Pseudomonadota; Gammaproteobacteria; Enterobacterales; Enterobacteriaceae.